This 440-nucleotide ribosomal RNA is filed under the name uncultured bacterium. Its description in RNAcentral is "partial 16S ribosomal RNA". It matches the Rfam family "Bacterial small subunit ribosomal RNA", at positions 338 to 795 of the family's 1533-position model. The record is from RNAcentral.
CCUACGGGGUGCAGCAGUGGGGGAUAUUGCACAAUGGGGGAAACCCUGAUGCAGCGACGCCGCGUGUGGGAAGACGGUCCUCUGGAUUGUAAACCACUGUCCCCAGGGACGAAGAUGACGGUACCUGGGGAGGAAGCUCCGGCUAACUACGUGCCAGCAGCCGCGGUAAUCCGUAGGGAGCGAGCGUUGUCCGGAAUUACUGGGUGUAAAGGGAGCGGAGGCGGGGAUGCAAGUUGGGUGUCAAAACUACCGGCUCAACUGGUAGUCGAACUCAAAACUGCAGCUCUUGAGUGAAGUAGAGGCAGGCAGAAUUCCAAGUGUAGCGGUGAAAUGCGUAGAGAUUAGGAGGAACACCAGUGGCGAAGGCGGCCUGCUGGGCUUUUACUGACGCUGAGGCUCGAAAGUGUGGGGAGCAAACAGGAUUAGAUACCCUUGUAGUC